CCUACGGGAUGCUGCAGUGGGGAAUUUUGGACAAUGGGGGCAACCCUGAUCCAGCCAUGCCGCGUGAGUGAAGAAGGCCUUCGGGUUGUAAAGCUCUUUCGGCCGGGAAGAAAUCGCUCAAGCUAAUACCUUGGGUGGAUGACGGUACCGGAAGAAGAAGCACCGGCUAACUACGUGCCAGCAGCCGCGGUAAUACGUAGGGUGCGAGCGGUAAUCGGAAUUUCUGGGCGCAAAGCGUGCGCAGGCGGGGGAAAUCCCCGGGCUUAACCUGUGAACUGCGUUUGUGACUGUGGUGCUCGAGUGCGGGAGCGGGGGGUGGAAUUCCACGUGUAGCAGUGAAAUGCGUAGAGAUGUGGAGGAACACCGAUGGCGAAGGCAGCCCCCUGGGUCGACACUGACGCUCAUGCACGAAAGCGUGGGGAGCAAACAGGAUUAGAUACCCCAGUAGUC
Molecule: ribosomal RNA, 450 nt
Filed under: uncultured bacterium
Lineage: Bacteria
Description: partial 16S ribosomal RNA
Rfam family: Bacterial small subunit ribosomal RNA
Source: RNAcentral